UACGGGGGGUGCGAGCGUUGUCCGGAUUCACUGGGCGUAAAGGGCGCGUAGGCGGCUUGAUCAGUCGGGCGUGUAAGAGCGGGGCUCACCCCCGUUUUGCGAACGAGACGGUCGGAGCUGGAGCGCGGUAGAGGGGGACGGAAUGCCGGGUGUAGUGGUGAAAUGCGUAGAGAUCCGGCGGAACACCGGUGGUGAAGGCGGUUCCCUGGGCCGUAGCUGACGCUGAGGCGCGAGAGCGUGGGGAGCGAACCGG
Molecule: ribosomal RNA, 253 nt
Filed under: uncultured bacterium
Lineage: Bacteria
Description: partial 16S ribosomal RNA
Rfam family: Bacterial small subunit ribosomal RNA
Source: RNAcentral